Long non-coding RNA from Sapajus apella (tufted capuchin), 4172 nucleotides. RefSeq lists it as uncharacterized. The transcript is spliced from 2 exons. NCBI's taxonomy places the organism in Eukaryota, Metazoa, Chordata, Mammalia, Primates, Cebidae. The record is from RefSeq and is a predicted model, not a curated record.
AGGUUGCAGUGAGCCAGAAUGAUGCCACUGCACUACUCCAGCCUGGGUGACAGACUGAGACACUGUCUCAAAAAAUAAAAAUAAAUAUUAGUAAAUGUAUUAACAAAUUUAAUGAAUUGCUGAAUAGUUUAAAAAAUUUUUUUAAAGUUUUUUGUCUUGGAAAGUCUAAACUAUAUUUCUAUGUAUCAGUAACAAAAUGAACAGUAUGUAAAGUGGAUUUGUGUUUGUGAUAAAAGAAUAACUUUUGAAAAAUGUAUAGGUAACCAUAUUUGUUUUGAAAAACAUUGAGGAAAAUCAAAAGAACGGAAAUAGUACCUGUAGCUUACAAUGUACAGCUAAGGAGAAAAGAACUAUAGUAACACUUUUUUAUUAUUUUCACUGAUAAUAGGAAAGAAUAAAUGAAGCAAACAAAAACAAUGAUAAUGAAGAUAAAAGAUGAUAUUUAAAAAAUCCACAUAUUUGAUUUUUUAAAAAUCUACUUCAUGCAGCUUACAAGAGGUUCUUAAAACAGAACCACAGAAAUAUUUUAAGAUAAAGCGAUGAAAAAUCCUAACAUAAAAACGAGUCAAACCUGUAUGUCAAUAUUAAUUUAAAUUAACUGAUAAAACUACACAAAGUAAGCACUGAGGAGGGAAAAAAGAGGAACACUUCCUAAUAACAAAAGGGAUACUAUCAUGAAGAUAAACAACCAUUAAUGUGUAUGCACCCGCUGAUAAAGCCUCAACAUAUAAGUAGAAAUUGACAGACUUACAAGAAAUGAAAAAAAAUAGCUAACAUCAUAGGACAUUUUAACACUUGUCCAUCGGAAAUUAACAAAUCAAACAGAAAAAAGAUUAGUAAGGCUACAGAAGAUUUGACUAACACAUUUGAUUUUAUACACGUAUACACACACAUACACAGUCAUCCCUCAGUAUAUGUGGGGAAUUGUUUCUAGGACUGCCCACAGAUGCCUGAAUCCACAAAACUCAAGUUCCAUAUUGGCCCUGCAAAACUUGCAUGGGCCCUGUGGAACCCACAUAUUCGAAAAGCCAGCUCUCCAUAUAUGAGGGUUUCGCAUGCCACAGAUAACUGUAUUUUUUGAUCCUCAUUUGGAUGAAAAAAAUCUGCAUAUAAGUGUAUCCGUGCAGGUCUAACCCACAGAUUGUUCAAAGGUCAAUUGUAUAUAUCGUAAUACUGUUGCAUUGAGGAUUAAGUUUCAACGUAAAUUUCAGAGGGGACACUGUCAUUCAAAUGGUAGCAGGAGCUAAAGCACUGCAAAGAGAAGCUUAAGGUUUUACACAUUUUUUGAAAGAUUCGGAAUAAUUAAAAAUGAAUGAGUUAAGCUUUCAACCCAAGAAACAAGAAAGAGAACAGGAUACACCCAAGAGAAUAAUAUGUAAGGAAGUAACAGAGCAGAAUUAAUGAAUUAGAAAUUGAUAUAAAAUUUAUCAUGGCUGAUCAAUGGGAAAAGGAAACACAAAUACCAGGUACGAUCUCGGCUCACUGCAACCUCCGCCUCCCAGCUUCAAGCAAUUCUCAUGCCUCAGCCACCCCAGUAGUUGGGAUUACUGUGGAAGAAUACUAAGAAAGAGAACAGGGUACACCUAAGAGAAUAAUAUGUAAGUAAGUAACAGCAGAAUUAAUGAAUUCUGAGUUGGAAUUACUGUGGAAGAAUACUAAGAUCCACUUCAAAAUGUUUUAGAAUUGUAAUGAAAUAAUCCUUAAAAUAUAUAAAAGAGCAGUAUCAAUGUCCUAAGUUAAAAAAAAAACAUUAAAAAAUGAAUGCAUCAAAAGUAUAUUUCAACAAAUGACUUGAGGCAUACACCAGGUGUUAUGAAUGCUGUGGUUUGAAUGUGUCUCCAUAUUUUAUGUAUUGGAAGUUUAAUCUCCAAAUUUAUAUAUUGAUUGGAGGUGGGGCCUGUGGAGGUAGUUAGGAUUAGAUAAGGUCAUCAGGGUGGGGCCCCCAUGAUGGCACACCUGUCUUUAUAAAAAGAGGAAGAGAUCUCUGAGCUGACAUGCUGUAGUCCCCUUGCCAUGUGAUGCCCUGCACCACCUCAGGACUCGGCAGACUCCUUAUCAGCAAGAAGGCCCUCACCAGAUGCAGCUGCCUGUCUUGAACUUCCAGCUCCAGAAGUGUGGUAAAUAAAUUUCUUUAUGAAUUACCCAGUCUCAGGUAUUCGGUUAUAGCAACAGAAAACAGCAUAAGACAACGAUUUUUGCCAAUCUUCAGGAAACAUUUAAUCUUACUCUUUUGCAAAUUGUUCCAAUGAGUAGAGAUAUGAAGGGUAACUUAAUCAGGAUUGUAUGAACACUUAAUCAAAACUAGAUAAGGACAAUACAAGAAAAAAGUAUGGAGACAUUCUCAGACAUCAACAAAACUGGCAAUGAAAAUUCAGUUUAUAAUACAAUAAAACAUUUGACCAAAUAUGAUGUAUCUUAUGAUGUUUACUCUUAAUGUGGUUUGACUUAAAAAAAAAAAAAAGUUUUAAUGUAGUUUUCUACUUUAGCAGGUUAGAAUCUCAAGAAAAAGGGUUUCAUAAAAUUAAACAUUCAUUCAUGAAUUUUUAUUUUUUUAUUAUUUUUUAUUUUUUUAAAGACGGGGUUUCACCAUGUUGGUCAGGCUGAUCAUGAACUCCCGACCUCAGGUGAUCCACCCGCCUUGGCCUCCAAAGUGUUUGGAUUGCAGGCGUGAACCACCACGCCCGGCCUCAUUCAUGAAUUUCUUUAAAAUGUUGGGCAAACAAAGAAUAGAAGGGAACUUUCUUAACCUAAUAAAGGAUAUUUACUAAAAGUCUGUAAGAGAUAUAAUAAUGGUUAAACUACAGCAGAACUGAGAAAUUAGAAAAGAAUACCACCAUCACCACUUCUAUUCACACUUUAAUAGCAAGUACUACCCAAUACUAAAAGACAGAAAAGGAAUAGACAAGACAAAGUUGUCCUAUUUUUAGUCAAUGUAAUUAUAUGGCAAACCCAAGAAAAUUUAUAUAGUGUUAGAACUAGUUGGCAAGUUCAUCAUAGUUGUUGGAUAAAAGAUCAGCCCAUAAAAAUUGGUAGCAUUACUGUGCUCACUUAUAGUCCAUUGAAUAUAUAAUAUUUUUAAAGGCUGCAUUCACUAUAGAAAUAAGACCAUAAAGUACUUGAACUCCUCAAAGCCAUCCGUGAGAGGUGGAAAUCAAAUUCUUCGAAACUCCUGUUAAUAUGGAUAUUUUGACCUUUUCCAUGAAUAAUGAAUGUUCUUAGUGGCGUCUAGAAUGGUGAAUCCUUUCUGGAGGGUUUUCAAUUGACUUUGUCCAGACAGAGCAGAGGAAUCACCAUCUAUGGCUGUUACAGCCCUGUGAAACAUAUUUGUGAAAUAAUAAAACUUGAAGGUCAAAAUUAUUUCUUGAUCAUGGGCUGCAGACUGGAUGUUGUGUUAAGAGACUUGAAAACAACUUUAAUCUCUGCAUAUCUCAAUCAGAGCUCUUAGGUUGCUAGGUGCAAUGUCAAUAUUUUGAAGGAAUUUUUUUUUUUUUUUCCUGAGCAGUUAGUCUCAAUAGUGGGCCUAAAAUAUUCAGUAAACCAUGUUGUAAACAGUUGUAUUAUCAUCCAGGCUUUGCUGUUCCAUUUAUAGGGUACAGGCAGAGUAGAUUUAGCAUACUUCUUAAGGGCCCUAGGAUUUUCAGAAUGGUAAAUGAACACUGGCUCAAUAAUAAUGGUGAAGAAGUUUGAAAUAUUUCGAGAAUUACCAAAAUGUGACACAGACAAAAUCAGCACAUGCUAUUGGAAAAAUGGGGCCAAUAGACUUGCUUCACACAGGGUUGCCACAAAUCUUUGACUUAUAAAAAAGAAAAGAAGCAGUAUCUGCGAAGUACAAUAAAAUGAAGUGCAAUAAAGUGAGGUGUACCUGUAUACCAAGUGCUAAUUACAGAUUUUUUUUUGUUACAGAACUUUUUUAUAAUCAUGAAACACAAGAAACAGUUACUAUCAAUGGAGAACAGAUCAGAGAAAACUGAUAUAUUCAUAUGUAGAAUAUUAUACAGAGUUUUAAAAUGAAAGAAACUAUGUAAAUUGAAAUGGAUAAAUCUUGAAAACAAUUUUGAGUAUAAAAAGCAACUUAUAGAAGAAUGUAUGCAUUUUGAUAUUUAUAUGAAGUUUGAAAGCAUGCAAGACUAUAUGCUUUGUUUCUUGAUACAUAUGUAAUUAUGAUAUAAAAA